ACGUAGGUGGCAAGCGUUGUCCGGAUUUAUUGGGCGUAAAGCGAGCGCAGGCGGUUUCUUAAGUCUGAUGUGAAAGCCUUCGGCUCAACCGAAGAAGUGCAUCUGAAACUGUGGAGCUUGAGUACAGAAGAGGAAAGUGGAAUUCCAUGUGUAGCGGUGAAAUGCGUAGAUAUAUGGAAGAACACCAGUGGCGAAGGCGGCUUUCUGGCCUGAUACUGACACUGAGGCGCGAAGGCAUGGGUAGCAAACAG
RNAcentral lists this ribosomal RNA (251 nucleotides) under uncultured prokaryote. RNAcentral's name for it is "partial 16S rRNA". It matches the Rfam family "Bacterial small subunit ribosomal RNA", at positions 525 to 775 of the family's 1533-position model. The record is from RNAcentral.